Molecule: long non-coding RNA, 1051 nt
Organism: Parus major (Great Tit)
Lineage: Eukaryota; Metazoa; Chordata; Aves; Passeriformes; Paridae
Source: Ensembl
ACGUCGGUCCCCACCCCAAAUCCCCCCUCCUGUGGCUGCUGAGGGGGGAGAGAAGGUUAUGGGGCAGCGGCCGUGGGGCAGCGGCCGUGGGGCAGAUCCAGGCCCCACAAGUCGGUUCCCCACCCCAAAUCCUGUACUCAGCAGUUGGUUAUGGGGCAGCAGCCGUGGGGCAGCAGCCGUGGGGCAGAUCUGAGCCCCACAGGUCAAUCCCCCACCCCAAAUCCCCUCCUCCGCAGCGGCCAUGGGGCAACCACAGCCAUGGGGCAGCAGCCGUGGGGAAGAUACAGCGGCCGUGGGGCAGCAGCCGUGGGGCAGAUCCGCGCCCCACGGGUCCCUCCCUGUGCCCACGGCCGUGCCGAGGCUGCCGUGGGUCGCGGUGGCUCAGAUGUGGGGCAGGGCCGCCAGGCUCUGCCGGCAGUCGAUGGCGCCGCGGUCGGGCCCGGUGAAGGUGAGGGGCAGCCCCCCCAGGAAGCGGCGGCGCUCGGGGGGCUCCAGCCCCAUAAGUGGGCCCAGCUGGGCCGUCGGCAGCGCCGGGCGGUAGCUGGGGAGAGAAGGAGGUCAGGCCGGGGGGCCGGGGGAGCCCGGGGGGCACCCGCGGCCCCCAGGGACGGGGCUCGGCCCCAUAGCGGGGACUCGGCCCCAUGGAGAGGGGCUCGGCCCCAUGGAGAGGGGCUCGGCCCCAUAGCGGGGACUCGGCCCCAUAGCGGGGACUCGGCCCCAUAGCAGGGACUCGGCCCCAUAGCGGGGACCCGGCCCCAUAGCGGGGACCCGGCCCCAUGGAGAAGGGCUCGGCCCCAUAGCGGGGACUCGGCUCCAUGGAGAGGGAGCCGGUCCCACGUUGCCCACAGCAGUGGGGCUCAGCCCCAUGGAGAAAGGCUCAGCCCCACAGAGAAGGGCUCAGCCCCACAGAUGAGAGCUCAGCCCCACAGAUGAGGGCUCAGCCCCACAGACGAGGGCUCAGCACCGUGGCAGGGGGUCCAACCCCACAGCAGGGACUGGGACCCCAUAAAGGAGAGCUCAGCCCCCGAUCAGGGGGUCCAGCCCCAUAGAG